CUAAGGAUGAUCCUUCAGCGAGCUUCGGCUCACUAUCGGAUCGUUUUAGAAACAUCAGUGGCCAACAAUCGUCAGGAUUGUUGAGCUGCAUUGGCGGGAUUUCGCCGUCUUCGUUUCUCUUUCUUCGCGGACGAACACGCGCUGGGGCUGCAAGUUUGCAGAGUCCCUGGUCCUUGACUGGAUAUGCGUUAGGGGCUUGUAGCUCAGUUGGUUAGAGCGCGCGCUUGAUAAGCGUGAGGUCGGAAGUUCAAGUCUUCCCAGGCCCACCACUUUCAUCGAGUGAGCAUUCGUCUUCUGGUUACGGGGCCAUAGCUCAGCUGGGAGAGCGCGUGCUUUGCAAGCAUGAGGUCGUCGGUUCGAUCCCGUCUGGCUCCACCAGAUGGUUUGAUCAUCGACUGAUCGUGCACCUAAAUCGUCCGCGAAACAUCACUUCGCAUCUUGCUAGUCUGGAUAGACAGCAAGUUGCGUGAUUUCUGACAUCGUAAAGAGGAGAUCGAUCCGAGUUGGAUCGUGCAGCAAGCAAUUGCUACGCGAGACUUCAUUAUCUCCGGAUCAUUUCGGCGCUCGUGCGUCUUUCAAGGGCAGCUCACAAGGCUGCUUCUGGAGAGACAAGCGAGUUGUAAAUGAUCCUUUUAGCGAAGCUUGACCGCCUCGCUAUCGGAACGAUCUUACGAAGCAAGCUGGUCUUUCUAAUCAUUGUCCGGCUGCAGAUAGCGUUCAUCGAGGGCGCGUGCCGCAAGGUAAUUCUGCAGACAACAUUCUGCCGAGUGUGUGGACAUUGAUAAUGAGAGCAAUCAAGUGCCUUAAGGGUGUUCGGUGGAUGCCUUGGCGCUGAGAGGCGAUGAAGGACGUGCUACGCUGCGAUAAGCCGUGGGGAGCUGCGAAGAAGC
This 890-nucleotide unclassified non-coding RNA is filed under the name Bradyrhizobium sp. Its description in RNAcentral is "partial 16S-23S ribosomal RNA intergenic spacer". The stretch from base 193 to 266 matches the Rfam family "tRNA". The record is from RNAcentral. Lineage: Bacteria; Pseudomonadati; Pseudomonadota; Alphaproteobacteria; Hyphomicrobiales; Nitrobacteraceae.